CUUCCACCGUAUAUCGAGCAUAUGGAGCAUUCGGUGGCACCAUCAAAUCCGGAUGGAGAGCUGGAGGAGCCGAAGAAGCUUCGGGAGCUGGGGCAGGUGGAGGAGGUGGAGGCUGCUGUGGUGCAGAUUGUUGUGGAGGAGGCUGGUUAUACUGAGGGCACAUACUCCUGUUUCGCUGAGAUUGGCUCUCAGGGACAUGCUCAUGUGCGGAUGCUGUACCGGACCUCGAAGAUGAUGGCUCCGUCCGAUCAAGAAAUGUUUCCCCAUAAGUGGGGUGAGUCGCAGCUGCUAGGUUCCUAAGUAUCUUUCUACCAGAAGCCAUAUCGUUGAUCUGUUAAAAAAAAACAUUAUUGUUAGAAAUUAAUAAUUUAAAUAAGUUAUUAGAAAUAUUCUAAAAC
Molecule: long non-coding RNA, 398 nt
Filed under: Brassica napus (rape)
Lineage: Eukaryota; Viridiplantae; Streptophyta; Magnoliopsida; Brassicales; Brassicaceae
Description: long non-coding RNA (BNAP_LNC009839)
Source: RNAcentral